Molecule: ribosomal RNA, 253 nt
Filed under: Thermoleophilia bacterium
Lineage: Bacteria; Bacillati; Actinomycetota; Thermoleophilia
Also listed under: 1 other name
Description: partial 16S ribosomal RNA
Rfam family: Bacterial small subunit ribosomal RNA
Source: RNAcentral
UACGAAGGUCCCAAGCGUUAUCCGGAUUUAUUGGGUUUAAAGGGUGCGUAGGCGGCUUAUUAAGUCAGUGGUGAAAGCUCCAUGCUUAACAUGGAAAUUGCCAUUGAUACUGAUGAGCUUGAGUAGAUUUGAAGUGGGCGGAAUGUGUCGUGUAGCGGUGAAAUGCUUAGAUAUGACACAGAACACCGAUUGCGUAGGCAGCUCACUAAACUCUUACUGACGCUGAGGCACGAAAGCAUGGGGAUCAAACAGG